RNAcentral lists this ribosomal RNA (1442 nucleotides) under uncultured organism. Its description in RNAcentral is "16S ribosomal RNA". It matches the Rfam family "Bacterial small subunit ribosomal RNA". The record is from RNAcentral.
CGAACGCUGGCGGCGUGCUUAACACAUGCAAGUCGAACGGAAAGGCCCUGCUUUUGUGGGGUGCUCGAGUGGCGAACGGGUGAGUAACACGUGAGUAACCUGCCCUUGACUUUGGGAUAACUUCAGGAAACUGGGGCUAAUACCGGAUAGGAGCUCCUGCUGCAUGGUGGGGGUUGGAAAGUUUCGGCGGUUGGGGAUGGACUCGCGGCUUAUCAGCUUGUUGGUGGGGUAGUGGCUUACCAAGGCUUUGACGGGUAGCCGGCCUGAGAGGGUGACCGGCCACAUUGGGACUGAGAUACGGCCCAGACUCCUACGGGAGGCAGCAGUGGGGAAUAUUGCACAAUGGGCGGAAGCCUGAUGCAGCAACGCCGCGUGCGGGAUGACGGCCUUCGGGUUGUAAACCGCUUUCGCCUGUGACGAAGCGUGAGUGACGGUAAUGGGUAAAGAAGCACCGGCUAACUACGUGCCAGCAGCCGCGGUGAUACGUAGGGUGCGAGCGUUGUCCGGAUUUAUUGGGCGUAAGGGGCUCGUAGGUGGUUGAUCGCGUCGGAAGUGUAAUCUUGGGGCUUAACCCUGAGCGUGCUUUCGAUACGGGUUGACUUGAGGAAGGUAGGGGAGAAUGGAAUUCCUGGUGGAGCGGUGGAAUGCGCAGAUAUCAGGAGGAACACCAGUGGCGAAGGCGGUUCUCUGGGCCUUUCCUGACGCUGAGGAGCGAAAGCGUGGGGAGCGAACAGGCUUAGAUACCCUGGUAGUCCACGCUGUAAACGGUGGGUACUAGGUGUGGGGUCCAUUCCACGGGUUCCGUGCCGUAGCUAACGCUUUAAGUACCCCGCCUGGGGAGUACGGCCGCAAGGCUAAAACUCAAAGGAAUUGACGGGGCCCCGCACAAGCGGCGGAGCAUGCGGAUUAAUUCGAUGCAACGCGUAGAACCUUACCUGGGUUUGACAUGGAUCGGGAGUGCUCAGAGAUGGGUGUGCCUCUUUUGGGGUCGGUUCACAGGUGGUGCAUGGCUGUCGUCAGCUCGUGUCGUGAGAUGUUGGGUUAAGUCCCGCAACGAGCGCAACCCUUGUUCACUGUUGCCAGCACGUUAUGGUGGGGACUCAGUGGAGACCGCCGGGGUCAACUCGGAGGAAGGUGGGGAUGACGUCAAGUCAUCAUGCCCCUUAUGUCCAGGGCUUCACGCAUGCUACAAUGGCUGGUACAGAGAGUGGCGAGCCUGUGAGGGUGAGCGAAUCUCGGAAAGCCGGUCUCAGUUCGGAUUGGGGUCUGCAACUCGACCUCAUGAAGUCGGAGUCGCUAGUAAUCGCAGAUCAGCAACGCUGCGGUGAAUACGUUCCCGGGGCUUGUACACACCGCCCGUCAAGUCAUGAAAGUUGGUAACACCCGAAGCCGGUGGCCUAACCGUUGUGGGGGAGCCGUCGAAGGUGGGACUGGUGAUUAGG